Molecule: ribosomal RNA, 497 nt
Filed under: uncultured bacterium
Lineage: Bacteria
Description: partial 16S ribosomal RNA
Rfam family: Bacterial small subunit ribosomal RNA
Source: RNAcentral
GAUGAACGCUGGCGGCGUGCCUAAUACAUGCAAGUCGAGCGAACAGAUGAGGAGCUUGCUCCUCUGACGUUAGCGGCGGCCGGGUGAGUAACACGUGGAUAACCUACUUAUAAGACUUGGAUAACUUCGGGAAACCGGAGUUAAUACCGGAUAAUAUAUUGAACCGCAUGGUUCAAUAGUGAAAGACGGUUUUGCUGUCACUUAUAGAUGGAUCCGCGCCGCAUUAGCUAGUUGGUAAGGUAACGGCUUACCAAGGCAACGAUGCGUAGCCGACCUGAGAGGGUGAUCGGCCACACUGGAAGUGAGACACGGUCCAGACUCCUACGAGAGGCAGCAGUAGGGAAUCAUCCGCAAUGGGCGAAGGACUGACGGAGCAGCGCCGCGUGGUGGAUGAAGGUCUUCGGAUCGUAGAACUCUGUUAUUGGGAGAGAACAAAUGUGUAAGUAACUGUGCACGUCUUGACGGUACCUAAUCAGAAAGCCACGGCUAACUACGUG